Molecule: ribosomal RNA, 440 nt
Filed under: uncultured bacterium
Lineage: Bacteria
Description: partial 16S ribosomal RNA
Rfam family: Bacterial small subunit ribosomal RNA
Source: RNAcentral
CCUACGUGAGGCAGCAGUGGGGAAUAUUGCACAAUGGGGGAAACCCUGAUGCAGCCAAGCCGCGUGAGUGAAGAAGUCAUUCGUGAUGUAAAGCUCUAUCAGCCGGGAAGAAAAUGACGGUACCUGACUCAGAAGCCCCGGCUAACUACGUGCCAGCAGCCGCGGUAAUACGUAGGGGGCAAGCGUUAUCCGGAUUUAAUGGGGGUAAAGGGAGCGUAGACGGCGACGCAAGUCGGAAGUGAAAUGCCUGGGCUCAACCCUGGAACUGCUUUGGAAACUGGGUGGCUAGAGUGCAGGAGAGGUAAGCGGAAGUCCUAGUGUAGCGGUGAAAUGCGUAGAUAUUAGGAGGAACACCAGUGGCGAAGGCGGCUUACUGGACUGUAACUGACGCUGAGGCUCGAAGGCGUGGGGAGCAAACAGGAUUAGAUACCCCUGUAGUC